AUAGCUUCCCGGGGUUUACUCAGACUUCAGCCUCCCUCCUGAGGGCACAGACUCAGCCUGGCAGGCGCCUGCAGAGUGACGGCCUCAUCGCCCUUUUCUGGCUCCUCUGCUUCCUCUUUGUCCCCAACCUGGAGGAGCCGUUGAGGCGUGAUCAAGACAGACCUAAAUUCAGCUCCAGCUCUGCCCUUAACAAGACGGGAGACUUUAACGUUUUAGACCUUAACAGGGGUAAGUCACUUAAGUUUUAAGU
This 250-nucleotide long non-coding RNA is filed under the name Capra hircus (goat). Its description in RNAcentral is "lncRNA (ENSCHIG00000001057.1)". Lineage: Eukaryota; Metazoa; Chordata; Mammalia; Artiodactyla; Bovidae. The record is from RNAcentral.